CCCUCAGCUAUCCUCAUUUAAAAAGGGUGGUCAGGCAUGUAUCGUAGCAAAUUUAAAGCUUAGGCUGUUGUUCUGGUGAGAAGUCUAAUUUACCGUAAUUGCCUUUUUUUUAAUAAUGAGCUGAUCCAUUUGAGAUGUCUCAAUAACCAUUACCCAGUUAAGAUGAUGGCUUAAUUUGGAGUUGCUGUUACGAGUGUGGGCACGCUGGCCUCAAGCUGCUCGGUCUGGGCACUGCGGUGUGAUGCUUUAAGUCUGCCGAGAGUGACUUUUGAACUAUACAGAAACUUUCACUGACUUGCAUGGGAGCUGUUCAAUGAGAGGUGAAAGGAGCACUCAGGAUAUGAGUGAAUACAAAUAUCUUCUGGUUUUGUGGUUUUGUAAGUUCCCAUAAAUCAGUCAGCAAGUUCCCAGUCAUUGUGACAACCGCAUGUCCUGUGCUCGGGCACUGCAGUUGCCACAAACCCCAGCAAAGGCUGCAGUCAGCCCAUAAAGAGCAGCAAGGCAGAAGAGUGGCAUUUAAAACACAGAGCACAAUCUGACAGAUUUCUGCCUUGUUUUUUUAUUCAGACUGUCAGUGCACCAGCAGAUUCUUAGAACCACCCUCUCUUUCCUCCAUGCCCCCCACCUUGCUACUUAAAUCAAGCAACAGAAAUCCAUAGAGGGAUUUUCUGGGAGAAAUGAGAUGAAAGCUUUUAUGGGCUUUCAUAAGGAUUUCAUAGAAUUACAGAAUGGCUUCAGUUGGAAAUGACCUUAAAGAUCAUCCAAUUCCAACCUCCUGCUGUGGGCAGGCAGUAGAUUAGACUCAGUAUUUUGUACUGCUUGUUCUAAGGAAAUGCUUGUGUUAAUGAGCAUUCAUGGUGAAACAUGGAAUAGAAGUUGGUUAGAAGAGGAAGUGGGAUGAUCUGUGAGUCCCCACUUUCCUCAGUCUGCUGCAGGAGCUGGGGUCCAUAUGGGGCAGCAGUCAGUUCUGCUGCUUCCUGACCUACCUAAGUGGGAUCCCUGUCCAGGGACCUGAACCUACCCUGGUUGGCUUAAGACUGGGGAGUCUGCAGCUCAAACAAGGCGCUUUGUUCCGCAUUGUGAAUGCACUGAUUAAACCUCAUAGUUGGGAGACUGGACAUACUGAUAUUCUCUCCCUCUUUUGCAUUGCACAACAGUACAGACACCCAGACAUCUGCGAGCUAGCAGAUUUGAUCUGUGUUCCUAAGGAUUGUGAAAUUCUGGUUGUAUAUAAAUUUGCUGUCUGAAUUUGAAGCAUGAUUUAUGACGGGUGCCUUGCCUCUUGUAGUUAGCAUGACUUCCCUUUCUGUAGGAUUGCUAGGCAGAUGUUCUGACUUCUCCAGUAUGCUGUCCUUAACAUGGCUUUUCCUCAUCUUUUGUGCUGCCUACUUACUUGCUGAAGCUGUUCAGCUGAUACGCAAUAAACUGUAUCUUCCUUAGUAUUCAGGCCUAGUGCUGGCUGGAAUAACUAAAACGCAAAGCAAGGUGUGCAUUUGUUUUGCACUGUUUAGGAGCUAUCUAAAAUACUCGGAAGCGUGUGGUGGUUCUUAUUUUUGUUCCAUUUCCUCAAUCCUCUGUUAUAAGUGCACUUUCGCUUGCUAAUCUGCUGUCUGAAAUACUCUUUGUUCAGGAAAGCAAGUCUAUUUCUGUUGUAAUCAGGGCUAAGAAUUCAGCUGCAGGGUCACUUGCACUGCAGAGUUCACUGACCAUGUUUUGCUGCUGGCAGUCCCAGCUUUGGCCCUUUACACAGAUCAAUGCCAGGCUAACCCCAUUUAUUGCUACUACUGAAUCAAAGCUCUGCUGCUCCUACUUAAUUUAGCUCAAAAUAGACAUAAUGCAAACAAGCGUCAGCAUGGCAAAAGAGCGAGAAGAAGGGGAGGAAGAAAAAAGGCGUGCAGUUGUUUGGGUUUUGAUUUGUUGUUUUUUUGAAUUGAAGAUACCAAAUGGUGCCAGGAUUCAGAAGAGAGGAAUUUGUUUGUACUGUGCUAUUAGACUCUUUAUAAAAAAUAGUAGUCAUCAUUGAUUCUGAUCUGUGCAGUAGAGUUUGUCUGUCUGUCUUUCAUUUCCUUUUUGUGUUUUGAGAAUCUCUUCUAAUUUAACAGCUUAGGCACACAUUCUGAUUUCUUCUGGGUUUUGUAGUCCCACUGAUAUCACUUGCAGUUUGCGUUGUCUUGGUCACACGAGGUGGGCCUCCAUCCUUGCUACUGGGUACCCAUCACCAGUUACUUCUGUUUCAGCUUCAUGGAAACGUGCAGACCGGCUUGUGGUCAGGUGAAGUUACUGUUGGCAGGAGUGCUGUUCUCGGUGAAGCUACAAUGGUGUUGAACCCUUUGUGAGGUUCAUCAUGGUGAGGUGGGUUAUGAGGUUUUGUUUAAGGGAAUAGGGUAGGUAUUGCACUUUGUGACUGCACUAUAACUCUUUUCUGCAGCUGUGGCACACCUCAGUCUGAGAAAACACUGGGAUCCUGAGGACGUUACUUGGAGCUGAGAUGACAGGACCUUUAUGGCGUGGUUGGCAACCCGCCACUGUUUCCAGCUAGGACUGGAUUUAUGAAUUCCACUGCCACACCUCAUUCCACACAGCUUUCAAAUAUGUGGAGUAAGGCACACACAUACCCUCGCAGCUUGUUGGCUCCUGGGCUGCAGCCCUGUUCCCUCUAUGAGGCAGCAUGGAUGGAAAUCCUGAGAUUUAGUGUUUCUGAUAAACACAAAGAAAUCCCCUCCUUCCACUCCGCUCCUUCCCCUAACUCAUCCCCCUCAGUUCUGCAGCUCCAGGGCACCACUCAGCAGAAAUCAAGUGUUCAGCGUGGGUAUGUAUAUAAUGGGAUUUAAGAUGACAGCCAUGAGACAAAUCCAUCACUUAGGAAUUGUUGAAGUUAAUUUCUGCCCCCUCUGCUACAUGCUCAUCACAGGUCUUCUGAAACUUUUCCUGUUUGCUCUAAGUGCUCUUACUCAUUACAAUUCAGCUGUUCCUGAAGGCAAACUUUUGUUCCGUGGAAGAGACCAAAGCAAAGAUUGAAUGUUUUUUGUGUUUCACCACCCUUCUCCACACUCUUGCAAAUUAAAUGCCUCCUCCUCCAGCCUACCCUUUUCUCUUCUGGCAGGGCACUGUUGCCCCAACAAGGGAAGCUUUGUCUUGCUUCUCCCACUCCCAGCACACGCUUGGCUUCCCCAUUGCCUUCUGUUUUUGCCUCUUGGAGACCCUGCAGUCUCCCUGCUUUCCUGCCCAGUAUUUUGGGACAGAGCUGCAGGUGUCCUGUACCACCUUCCUGGACAAAGGUUGGGCAGUGCAUCAGGUCCUAGGCUUUCUGGCCUUUUCUACAAGCCUGCCCACUUCCAGAGUAAGUCCUUUGAGGGUUAUCCUCCAGAUUUAAUCUGGAUCUGCUCUUUCAACACCUUGAGAUGUGUUACUAUGUGACUGUCCUUUCAUGAGCUGUUAAGUAUUCCUCCUGUGAUGCUUCCUUCCACUUCUCAGGUGUCUGUUGGAAGAUAGUGGUUUUGUUUUUAUUUUUAUUCACAGUAAGGCAGUACUUUUGUGAAGAACAGCCUAAGUGUUGGGAGCCCGCUGCAUGGUGCAUUUGAUUUGAGCAUUCUCCAUAGCAUGCAAUGUCUUGUUCCCUGUGUGCCUGGGAAAAGCCUCCAGUGGUGUCUCCUUGGUAAAUAAGGGACAGUGUCUCAAAAUCAUUGUUUGUUGUGUGGUUUGCUCUUUCUUUUUUUUUUCUUUUUUCUUUUUGUGGUUUUGGUUGUUUUGGUUGUUUUGUUUUAGGCAGAGGUAGGAUUCCAUUCCUGCCUACUUUGUGUAGAAAAUAUUUUUUAACCCAUUUUUUUUGCCCUUGGAAGUUAAACUGACUUCGCUAUAUUAAGUCAGUUAGAUCUGUUUGGAAAUCAAACAAAUUUUGAUGUAUGAGGGCUGCUGAGAAAGUAAUGCCUAUUUUAAGAUGUUGGCCUGUGACAUCUGAGGCGGAUGUUGGUGCUGUGGCAGUAGAUGUUGAAUCUUCCCACCAGUAUCCCAGUAUCUACAUAACGCAUGUUGUUGCUGUGUGACAGAUGGCAGCAGAGGAGGAAUCUGACAAAUUGGCGUCUGAUAUGGAAGUGCCUUUGAAGCAGUGGUCUGUCAAUGAAUUCCUCUGUGUGGAAAAAAUGGUAUCAGAUCUUAAAUUAUCAUGUCUUCUAAGCACGUAAUUAUUAUGUACUCAAACUGUUCUCCUAAAUAUGUCCUGCCCAGUCCUUGUGGCUUGAUCCUUCUCUGAAGUAUUUUUUUUGUCUGUUGCAAAAGCCAGGUGUAGUUCAGAAUGGUUAAUUUUGGACCUGAGCUGUUUAUAGAGGAUGUGUCCCCUUGUUAGCAUGGUCUUACUAGUUCGUACCACUGGUUAUUACCGCUCAAGAUGCUCACUGGAUUUGAUUUCUGUGGCUCUUGUUAGGUGAUGUCUUCCCCCCAGACAGAUAAAAGAUUUUUUCAGAUGUUGUUUUGAAUGAGGACAGUUUCACUUAAGCUUAUUGCCUCAGCAGUGGUUAAAUUAUGCUAACUAACCUCUUGGCAAUGGCCAGCUUCUCCAAGAACUCAGUUACAGAAUAACCAACCAAAAAGAGAAAUUUCAUACCUGAACUCUUUCCACAUGGGGUUGGUCCAGUUCUUGCCAGUGGCAAUGCAUACCCUUAGGUUGUCUGAUGUAGUUUCUGUUUUAAAAAUGAAGCAACUUUGUGUAAUAUAAGCUUGGCUUUUAUUUUCUUCGUAAAGCUGCCUGUUGCCCUUUUUCUUUCUAGCUGUCUCAGAAUUGCCUCAUUUGGUCGUUUGGAAGAAUACAGAAAUACUGCUGGCUUCUAUGUCAUGGUAUAUGUAUCUUUAGCAUGAGUUUGCUAAUAUGUCUUUAUUUCUUGCUUGUCAAUUUGAAAUUCAUGUUAUAUGUUAGAAAUGUUAAAAGCAAAUAGCUAGAGAAAGUUAAGGUAGAUAUUUUUUGCUGAGUGACAGACAUGGUCUCUAAUGCUUCUUUUGACAUAUUCAGUUAUUUUGUUGUCCGAACACUGGCACUUCAUGUGUUUAGUAAUAACCAAAGUGCAAAACUCGACUCAGAAACAGCCCAUGCAAAGCUUAUGAAUAUUAUAUGACACUUUUCCUGAUAUUCUGAGGAUGUGUGUGUGGUCUAUUGCAUGUCAGACCAAGCAAAGUCUUUUAGUAUGAAAUUGUGAGUUUGCUGAGCUAGUUAACAGAAACCAUUCUGUCUAAAACUAGUUAGUCAGCUGCUGCUUCAUGAAGUUGGUGAUAGCAGUGGUGGCUUCAGCAUGCAUACAGCACAUGGUUAUAUAGAUUUGUGGUUAAUCCACCCUUGUGGGCAAAAUGCACUAAAAUUAGCUGGCAAAUGAGUGUUUUUAUCGUAUGAGCUACUAUGACUACUUGGAAGAAUCCCUACAGGUCUGAAAACAAUAAUAAUCAGAAUUGUAUUUCUUAGCCUUGGAUCCAAAGGUAUCUUUUACACAUAAUGGAAUCAAAUGAACCAAAUCUAAAGUAUGCUUUGUUCCUAUGCCAUAUGUUUGCCGUCUUGCCAAGCACGCUUCUCUUCUCCUAGAGCAGGAUCCUGUGUUCUCCUCUUCUCAAAUCCUGCCCUUCAUACCAUGCAAAAAAGUGACUGCUUGACCUCACAGUUGUGUGGAUACCAUUCUUCUUCUCUUUUCAUCCCUAAGUGUUUUUCCGAUGUUUAAGAAAACUUAAAAAAACAAAACAAAACAAAACAAAAUAGAAAAAGAGGUAGAAGCAAACUAAAAAGUACUGCAUUAAUGAAGCCUUUUAAGUUUAAUUGAGGACUUCAGCCCCUUUCCACUAGUUGCCUCAAAGCAAUACCUCCUCCUAUGAUGGCUUUAAGAUCCAGAGAGCAUCCGAGUUUCGGUAUGGAGCAGGGGUAGGAAAGUAUCUGGGUGGCUGAGGGCUGUUUACUCAGCUCCUGUAUGCAGUGGUGCAUCCGUAGCUUGCUAGGAUUGCUCCUGAGAUACCUCAACCAUCUUCUGUCACUUUGUGUAUGUGCCUUCAACAUAAGCCUGAUUCCUCUCCCAGCACCUGUGUGCUGUUAUGCCGCCUGUCCCAAGGUAUUAAGUAACCUACGUGCGUUUUGAAAUAGCUAAUGAUAAAUAAGGCGAUUUCUCUCAUGAUAGUGCUUGGACUUUUUCAUUCUCCUGCUUAUUAUGAAAUAUGUAGGCUGAUAAUUUUAAUGAGAGUUACAAGAGAAGAGAGAAACUUUUAGCCAGACCUGGAAAUGCAUGGGAUCAUUUUAGAGCUGACUAAACUCUCCUUAUUGCACUCUGCAUUAACCAGGACUUCUGAAAAGCCUGUUGUUUCAGUAAGUUUGGUCUUUAUCGUUUCUUUCACCCUCUUGGUCUCUAUCACUCUGACAGGUUUUCAGUAGAGAACCUUUUUUUUUUUGAGGUGGCACCACCGCUUUGCUUAGGUCAGCACUGGGAGGGGAAAUGGGCGAUAGAGAGAAGGAAAAGCCUGUGACAACAGAGGACUCCUGAAGGCUGAUUCUUUUUGGCUAUAGUGUUGCAUUUCAUCCUUCCUGGAGUGAAGGAUGUAUAAUUUAGCAUUGCAGUUUUCCACGGUAUUUCAAUUUCUGUACUAGCUUGAACUCUAACUGUCAAACUUGCAAUUUUGUUGACAUCUUAAUUGUAAAUUAGAUAAUUACAAAGGUAUUGUCUUAAAGCUCUUUUGUGUCUUUUUUUCCCGCUGUGAGGUUAUAGAUGAAGCUAUCUGUCUGUUAUAUUGUCUAGUCUCAUAAUUACUAAGUGGACACAGUGUCUUCAAAAUUACAAUUCAGACUGAGAAUAUUUUAUUAUUUGUUGCUGCAAGAAACAUCUGGAGAGUGCUUAGAGCUCAAGUGCAUUACAGCGUUUCAUAGAAACAGUUUUAUUGGAUUCUUAGGAUUUGUCCCUCUCAUAUGGCAGGAAGAGCUAACAGAGGCGCUUUUUUUUUUUCUUAAGGUGAUUCCAGAUAUAAAAUUCUUCAGGCUAUAUGAAGGUGGUUCUUUCUGUUGGCUGCUUGUUCAGUCUGAAGUAGAUAAUAUUCUGUUGAUAUGUCCAAAAAUGCAUCUUCUCCAUAUGGGUCAGUAUUAUCUCUUUCUGCUCCCAGGCAAAUUAAUAAAACAAAUUUUAAAAGUGCAAAGGAAAGCAGGCAGCUGGCUGAUUCAAAGGGUGAGGCUAUGUUUUUCAUCACCACCCUUUCAAAGCCUCUCUGAAUCAAAAGAACCAUUGGAUUGCGAAGGCAAGACCUAUGCCACACCAGAAGCUCCCAGUUCAGCAAUUUUCCCAGGGUAAAUUAUAACUCAUGUUUCCUCAGCACAGGCUGUAACUGGCAGCGUUCCUUCUACUUCUAAGGGUGAAAUUGCUGGGGGGAGAACAGACAUCUAAUGUGCCUCUGGAAGUUUUACAAUGGGUGUUAGCCUGGCUUUGUGAAAAGGGAGACGUUCCUCUGGAACAUACCCAAGGGCAGGUGCUAUUCAAACUGUAGUGUAAAUUAACUUUAAAUAAAGUAGUGUGGGCCUACUUCUGUUGGGGUUGCGAGUCAAAUUUGCAGAAAAGGCCCAUUUUUCAAAUUCUGACAGUUAAUGACAAUCUUCCAGUUAUCCCACUGUAGUCUGCAUUCUUAUGAGUCUUUAAAAUCUUCAGAUAUGACUGCAAUUCAAGAUGCUAAUCUUUGUUCAUGUACAGCUGAUAGGAUCUUAACUCACAAACAAAACAGCCGGAUUUUAGCAAUGCUUGUAUUUUGGUGUUUCUUCUCACCAGGAGAUUAUUGGACAAAUUGCAGACUCAUGAAGAAUGUAGCCAGUUAGUCUUUCUCCUCAUUCAAAUUUUGACACCAUCUUUAAAAAGUUGUUUAACUUUGCAUUCAAAUGUACCUGCAUGGUCCUGGCCAAGAAAAGCUCUUCCCUUUUUAAGCUCAGGAGGGAGCGUUGUGUUGCUUGUUUUUGGUUUUUUUUUCCCUCUUUUUUUUUUUUUCAUAUGUGAAGACUCCUACAGAACGUGCUCAGAGUGCCUGCUGGAAGUGGAUAAAGGACCUGAGUGAGAAGUAUGAGUGAAAUUAUUUAUUCAGCUUAACCUAUGCGGUGUCCACUUGGGAGGAGUGGAUGGCAGAUUCGUGUGUUCAGAGCUGCUCCUUCCCACCUCCAUUCCUGACCUGAACUCUGUGUACUACUCAGGGCCAAGGUGGCUGUGGUAUAGCAUCGCUGCAGCAGGAACUGUUGGCUGCUCUGUGCUGGGUUCUUCCCAGCACAGCCUGGGGGUAGCUGCCCAGGUGGCUGUCUUUUCUAGGGAGGAGGUGAGAGCACCAGUGGAGUCCCAGGGCAGGUAUCUUGUCUGCAAAGGCACUGGCAGACCACACCUCUGCACCCAGGAUGAGGUGGUCCAUGGCAUUUGGAUCAAGGCUGCUGCUGGAACAGCUAAGGCCUUGUAUGAAGGAGAACGGGUCUGUCAUCUGCCCUCUGCCAGAAGGCAAAACUUCUUUGUGUGCUUGCUUUCGUACAGUUAUGAGUAAAUUCACCCUCUUUCUGCUACCUGAGGUUUGAUAGGGGUAAGAGAAAUGAGUGACCUAUUUUCCAGCUUUAAAGAAAAAUAAAUGAAGUUGUCCUCAGGGCAGUGGAAGCAAAGGCUUUUGUAUCAGCUGGAGUGUUGUGGGCAGGGCUGCCAGACUGUGCAAGGCUCCUCAGACCUUGCAGCCUCUUUCCCAGGGACUCCUCAUCUCUGUGUUUCCUUUUAUUAAUAUAAAUAAAUAAAAAUAAUUGCAUGGAUGUGUACAAGAUAACUGUAGUCUGUCUCCAUUGAGGCUGAGGAAUCUGCUGGCAAUUGGUGGCUUGUAGCAGUUCCUUCAGUACCUGGCAGGAUCCACUUUCUGUCUGUGAGAACAAAAGCAUGAGAAGGAGGUACCUGGCUAUGCAUACCUUCAAGUAUUUGGGGCUGGGCACAUGUAGUUAGAGGAGGCUCAGGCUGGGGAGCUGCUCUUCCUUUUGGUCACUCCUAAAUCAAUGUUACUGUCAGUUUGAGUAGAAGCUAGUGUAGAGCAAAUCAGCUCCUAGUGGAACAAACGGUCUAAAAUUGCAUGCAUGUGUCCCAUUCCCAUUGUAGGACUCCAUUAGAGGUGGUGCAGCAGGUCUGUUGGCCUUCGGUCUGGUGCCCUCCUUCAUCCUCCCGAAGGUUUAGGGGAUGGUUUUGCUGGCCGCAGUCUGGGUUGUAUACCCUGUGAUUAUACAGUGUUGGGUGGGCAGUUGUGUGCUGUGUAGUAAUUGAGAGCAGCUUUCAAAUCCGGUUUUGCUUGUAAAUUACAGUGCCUCUUUUCCCAAGUGAGAAUCCAACCAGCAGCAAGUCUGAAGACCAUAGAAGUCUGCUUCCAUUACAGAAAGCAAAGUGGCUAGAGGCUGUGUGCCGGAGGAGGUGAUGCACCUGAGCUUGACCCCCAAGUUUAACAUGGAUUUUAUUUUAAUAGUGUGUUGGGUUGCAUAUAUGCAGAAGAUCCAGCUUGAGCUAUAGGCUUAAGUCAAGUCCUGCAUCAGCCACAUUUACCACUGGCUUGACCAGUGUUUAGAGGGUGUAUAUGGCAAGAAGAGGGUAGGACAUACAGAAGUAUAGAGCUUUACUUACAGUGCUUGAAUGUAAUAAAUGAAAGCAUUUGGUCUGGCCUCAGUUAUGCUUACCCAAACAAGCAAGGGGCUGAGUUAAUCUUCCAGAAAGACUGCAAACUAUAGAAUAUCUUGGGCAGUGGUAAACUUUCGCAUGCAGUUUCAAGGCCUAGGGAAAUCUCCAGAAAAAUUUCUGGGCACUUGAAGAGAGAAAUCCUGUCUCUGUAAACUUUACUUUUACUAGAAUUUGGAAUUGCCUUUGCUGCAAUGAUGGUAUAAGCAUAGCUCCUGCCCUUAUUCCUAAAGCCUCCUUCUCAAAUUAAUUAGAGAUUUUCUUAAGUUCUCAGUGGUCAGUCUAUGAUGAAAUUGUGGUUAGAGCUGUUCUGCUGAAGCUAGGUGUGUGCUGCAGGCUCGACUACUGUCUACCUGCAUGUUGAUGUUGGGAUUUUCAAAUCUUCAAGAUUUGAAGAUUUCAAGACUUCUUCACUGUCCUGAACCUCCAGGUCUGAUCAACUCAGAUGAAGUUCCAGCAAGACUUACUGUGCCAAGGAAAUUCAACCAUGUUCUCUCCAGCUCUUGCAGCACUUCACAGGCUGGUGUGCCCAGCCAUGCCUGCAUCCAGAGGAGGAGGCUGUGAGAGUAGCAUGUAGGAUAUGGAGCAAGGGAGACUCGUCUUGAGGGCUCUCUGGGGUCAGCACCUCUGGGACAAGGAGGACAUAGCAGCAAACUGUCCUGUCAGACCUGAUGGCACCAUUACAGCCCAGACAUCUCCUCAGAGAGCUUCCAUCAGUGUAAAGGUGAAGAAGAAGAAGAAAAAAGAGCAUUGAUAUGUGUGAAGUGCAAAAAGCGUAAAGACUUUUUCCAAAGGGUCUGAACCACUUCUUUGUGUCUGUUCUUCAGAAUGAAGAUGAAGAGAAGGCACUGCCAUUGCAAUUAGGAGACUGAAAAGCAUCUGGCAUAUUCUGUGCCGUGUACAGUCUCUGACAACCUUGCAGGUCUGUCUGAGGGGCUAGCACAACCUGGUGUUCCCUGUGGACAUGGUGUACCAUGGCCAAAACCAGGGAGCUCAUUGUGAGGAUGUCACCAGCCUGGAGGAUUUUCCCCUUCCAGCAGAACAAGCUUCCUGGACAUAUAGCUCUGUAUCUCUUUGUGUUUGUUACACCUUCUAGAGGAGUUGUUUGUACUGUACUGAUACUGUUUAUAUUGAAUAAAUGCUUUCUCCAGCCUCUUUGUUGUGGUGACUGUUUCUGCUGAAUUGGAAAAAAGUGGAGGGUACUUGCUUAAGCAUUGUGGUGAGACAUGAUAGUGAUUUUUUUUAAUCUUUAAUGAAAUGUUUCUUUUGAAAAAAGUGUCUCCUCAGAAUGAGGACACUUCUGCAGGAGCCAAAUCAGAGUCAUCUUAAUGUUCUUGGUUUGUAUGAGGGACUUGAAGCAGUAUUUUGUGCAUCACCGCAAGCUCCCCUGAGGAUCAGCCC
Lagopus muta (rock ptarmigan) is the source of this 11066-nucleotide long non-coding RNA. RefSeq lists it as uncharacterized. Lineage: Eukaryota; Metazoa; Chordata; Aves; Galliformes; Phasianidae. The record is from RefSeq and is a predicted model, not a curated record. The transcript is spliced from 3 exons.